AAAAAACAAAGCCUGGUUGUCCUGGGUUUCCCUUCUCUUAUAUGAAAUUUUUUUAUAAUUAGUAUUUUUAUUAUUGUUAAAUGAUAAAACAUGAUUAAUACUUUAUACGUGACUUGUCUUUUUAAUUUUUUUCAUAAUUUUUUCAAAUAAGACGGACGGUCAAACGUUGGACAUGGAAACUCAGGGUUUGUCUUUUU
RNAcentral lists this microRNA precursor (197 nucleotides) under Oryza barthii. Its description in RNAcentral is "MIR812 microRNA precursor family". It matches the Rfam family "MIR812 microRNA precursor family". The record is from Rfam by way of RNAcentral. Lineage: Eukaryota; Viridiplantae; Streptophyta; Magnoliopsida; Poales; Poaceae.